Molecule: ribosomal RNA, 251 nt
Filed under: uncultured bacterium
Lineage: Bacteria
Description: partial 16S ribosomal RNA
Rfam family: Bacterial small subunit ribosomal RNA
Source: RNAcentral
UACGUAGGGUGCAAGCGUUAAUCGGAAUUACUGGGCGUAAAGCGUGCGCAGGCGGUUUUGUAAGUCUGUCGUGAAAUCCCCGGGCUCAACCUGGGAAUUGCGAUGGAGACUGCAAGGCUAGAAUCUGGCAGAGGGGGUAGAAUUCCACGUGUAGCAGUGAAAUGCGUAGAGAUGUGGAGGAACACCGAUGGCGAAGGCAGCCCCCUGGGAUAACACUGACGCUCAUGCACGAAAGCGUGGGGAGCAACAGG